This 253-nucleotide ribosomal RNA is filed under the name uncultured bacterium. RNAcentral's name for it is "partial 16S ribosomal RNA". It matches the Rfam family "Bacterial small subunit ribosomal RNA", at positions 524 to 776 of the family's 1533-position model. The record is from RNAcentral.
UACGUAGGGGGAAAGCGUUGUCCGGAUUUAUUGGGCGUAAAGAGCGUGUAGGCGGCCUUACGGGUCAGCUGUGAAAACUCGAGGCUCAACCUCGAGACGUCGGUUGAAACCGUAAGGCUAGAGUCCGGAAGAGGAGAGUGGAAUUCCCGGUGUAGCGGUGAAAUGCGCAGAUAUCGGGAAGAACACCCGUGGCGAAGGCGGCUCUCUGGGACGGUACUGACGCUGAGACGCGAAAGCGUGGGGAGCGAACAGG